AUUGAACGCUGGCGGCAGGCCUAACACAUGCAAGUCGAGCGGAUGAAGAGAGCUUGCUCUCUGAUUCAGCGGCGGACGGGUGAGUAAUGCCUAGGAAUCUGCCUGGUAGUGGGGGACAACGUUUCGAAAGGAACGCUAAUACCGCAUACGUCCUACGGGAGAAAGUGGGGGAUCUUCGGACCUCACGCUAUCAGAUGAGCCUAGGUACGAUUAGCUAGUUGGUGAGGUAACGGCUCACCAAGGCGACGAUCGUUAACUGGUCUGAGAGGAUGAUCAGUCACACUGGAACUGAGACACGGUCCAGACUCGUACGGAAGGCAGCAGCGGGGAAUAUUGGACAAUGGGCGAAAGCCUGAUCCAGCCAUGCCGCGUGUGUAAAGAAGGUCUUCGGAUUGUAAAGCACUUUAAGUUGGGAGGAAGGGCAGUAAGUUAAUACCUUGCUGUUUUGACGUUACCGACAGAAUAAGCACCGGCUAACUUCGUGCCAGCAGCCGCGGUAA
This 500-nucleotide ribosomal RNA is filed under the name uncultured bacterium. RNAcentral describes it as "partial 16S ribosomal RNA". It matches the Rfam family "Bacterial small subunit ribosomal RNA", at positions 30 to 523 of the family's 1533-position model. The record is from RNAcentral.